Molecule: RNase P RNA, 349 nt
Filed under: Kineothrix sp. MB12-C1
Lineage: Bacteria; Bacillati; Bacillota; Clostridia; Lachnospirales; Lachnospiraceae
Description: RNase P RNA component class A
Rfam family: Bacterial RNase P class A
About the family: Ribonuclease P (RNase P) is a ubiquitous endoribonuclease, found in archaea, bacteria and eukarya as well as chloroplasts and mitochondria. Its best characterised activity is the generation of mature 5'-ends of tRNAs by cleaving the 5'-leader elements of precursor-tRNAs.
Source: RNAcentral
UAAGUAGAAUAAAUGAUCGCGGCUGCAAUUCCGAAAGGAAGCAGGUGAGGAAAGUCCGGGCUUCGUAGGGCAGGAUGCCGGAUAACGUCCGGUGGAGGUGACUCCAAGGAUAGUGCAACAGAAAUGAACCGCCCCGCAUUGCGGGGUAAGGGUGGAAGGGCAGUGUAAGAGACUACCGUCCGUCUGGUAACAGACGGAGCCAUGUAAACCCCAUCCGAAGCAAGACCGAAUAGAAAGCAAUAGGCCGGCCCGGCCUGCUUUCAGGUGGGUCGCUCGAGGUUAUCGGCAACGAUAAUCCUAGAUAGAUGAUCAUUCACGACAUAACCCGGCUUAUCGUUCUGCUUAGCAA